This 312-nucleotide ribosomal RNA is filed under the name Triticum aestivum (bread wheat). RNAcentral's name for it is "partial small subunit ribosomal RNA". The record is from RNAcentral. Lineage: Eukaryota; Viridiplantae; Streptophyta; Magnoliopsida; Poales; Poaceae.
UGGAAUGAUGAUGUCCAGAAGGCGCUUAAAGAGAAGAAAGAUUGCUUCAGACGCCUAUACCUGGAUAGGAGUGCAGACAACAUAGAGAAGUACAAGAUGGCGAAGAAGGCCGCAAAGCGAGCUGUUGGUGAAGCAAGGGGUCGGGCAUAUGAGGACCUCUACCAACGGUUAGGCACGAAGGAAGGUGAAAGGGACAUCUAUAAGAUGGCUAAGAUCCAGGAGAGGAAGACGAGGGAUAUUGGCCAAGUCAAAUGCAUCAAGGACGGAGCAGGCCAACUCUUGGUGAAGGACGAAGAGAUUAAGCAUAGAUGG